Molecule: ribosomal RNA, 808 nt
Filed under: uncultured bacterium
Lineage: Bacteria
Description: SSU rRNA
Rfam family: Bacterial small subunit ribosomal RNA
Source: RNAcentral
UGAAGCCCCGGGGCUCAACCUCGGAAACUGCAUUCGAUACUCCCCGUGCUAGAGUAAUGGAGAGGUAAGUGGAAUUCCUGGUGUAGCAGUGAAAUGCGUGGAUAUCAGGAGGAACAUCAAUGGCGAAGGCAACUUACUGGACAUUUACUGACGCUCAGACACGAAGGCUAGGGUAGCGAAAGGGAUUAGAUACCCCUGUAGUCCUAGCAGUAAACGGUGCUCGCUUGGUGUGGGAGGAUUCGACCCCUUCUGUGCCGGAGCUAACGCGUUAAGCGAGCCGCCUGGGAAGUACGGUCGCAAGACUAAAACUCAAAGAAAUUGACGGGGACCCGCACAAGCGGUGGAGUAUGUGGCUUAAUUCGAUGCAACGCGAAGAACCUUACCUAGGCUUGACAUGCUUGUCGUACUCUCCCGAAAAGGAGAGGUCACUUCGGGUGGACAAUGCACAGGUGCUGCAUGGCCGUCGUCAGCUCGUGUCGUGAGAUGUUUGGUUAAGUCCAGCAACGAGCGCAACCCCUGUGAACUGUUGCCAGCGCGUAAAGGCGGGGACUCUGUUCAGACUGCCCAGAUCAACUGGGAGGAAGGUGGGGACGACGUCAGGUCAGUAUGGCCCUUACGCCUAGGGCUGCACACGUACUACAAUGCCCAGCACAAUGAGAACCGAGACCGCAAGGUGGAGGAAAUCUGCAAAACUGGGCCCAGUUCGGAUUGGAGGCUGCAACUCGCCUCCAUGAAGUCGGAAUCGCUAGUAAUGCCGUAUCAGCUACGACGGCGUGAAUACGUUCCCGCGCCUUGUACACACCGCCCG